Molecule: long non-coding RNA, 301 nt
Organism: Gasterosteus aculeatus aculeatus (three-spined stickleback)
Lineage: Eukaryota; Metazoa; Chordata; Actinopteri; Perciformes; Gasterosteidae
Source: Ensembl
CACCAGAUGGAGUUGUUGAUCCUCAGCUGCAGAGCACUGGCCUCGGCGCCCUGCAGCCCGGCCUGACUAGGGGAAGUAGAGACAGAUCAGGUGACUGGGACUGGACGGAUGGGGAAGUGAGAUGCUGGUGACGACCACUUCCAUCCACUGGACAAGAAAAAAAAGUCAGAGGCUGGACAGGUUACCUCGGACCAUUUAAACUUUCCCUAGAGCCAUAGUGCAGGAUACAAAGUGACACGUAAGAUGCCUGAUCAGUCACAUCUGUGUCUACAGUCAAAAGCAAACACCAACCGUUUUUAUU